This 447-nucleotide ribosomal RNA is filed under the name uncultured bacterium. Its description in RNAcentral is "bacterial SSU rRNA". It matches the Rfam family "Bacterial small subunit ribosomal RNA", at positions 329 to 792 of the family's 1533-position model. The record is from RNAcentral.
GACCAGACUCCUACGGGAGGCAGCAGUGGGGAAUAUUGCACAAUGGGGGAAACCCUGAUGCAGCGACGCCGCGUGAGUGAAGAAGUAUUUCGGUAUGUAAAGCUCUAUCAGCAGGGAAGAAGAAGGACGGUACCUGAGUAAGAAGCCCCGGCUAACUACGUGCCAGCAGCCGCGGUAAUACGUAGGGGGCAAGCGUUAUCCGGAUUUACUGGGUGUAAAGGGAGCGUAGACGGCGAAGAAAGUCUGAAGUGAAAGCCCGCGGCUCAACCCCGGGACUGCUUUGGAAACUGUAUGGCUGGAGUGCUGGAGAGGCAAGCGGAAUUCCUAGUGUAGCGGUGAAAUGCGUAGAUAUUAGGAAGAACACCAGUGGCGAAGGCGGCUUGCUGGACAGUAACUGACGUUGAGGCUCGAAAGCGUGGGGAGCAAACAGGAUUAGAUACCCCCGUA